RNAcentral lists this unclassified non-coding RNA (252 nucleotides) under Hevea brasiliensis (rubber tree). The record is from RNAcentral. Lineage: Eukaryota; Viridiplantae; Streptophyta; Magnoliopsida; Malpighiales; Euphorbiaceae.
GAACUUUGCCCAAAUGCACAAGCAUAAGAGGGCCAUAUUUGUCGGAGAGGGUUUUGAGGGAUCGAUAGGGGAGAGCGCCUAGUUGGUGAAGGUUUCCAAUGAUUGGUAGCUUUGGGGGUGAUGGAGGUAAUUUGAGUUUGCGAGUUCUAUUGAACCUAAACAGAUAAAUAAAUGAUAAAAGGAGAAGAGAGGCAAUGAGCAGAGGAUUGAAUGGAACAGUUUUGGCAAACUCUUGACACCAUUGAUGCAACA